Argentina anserina (silverweed cinquefoil) is the source of this 712-nucleotide long non-coding RNA. RefSeq lists it as uncharacterized. NCBI's taxonomy places the organism in Eukaryota, Viridiplantae, Streptophyta, Magnoliopsida, Rosales, Rosaceae. The record is from RefSeq and is a predicted model, not a curated record. The transcript is spliced from 3 exons.
UUAGGUACUUGACAGGAAGUGGUGUUGAUGCCUGCAACUCUUUUGGUUCAGACUGCGGGAAAGAUCAUGAGAUCCUGGGUUUAUGGACUUGGGGCCAAAGGUCUAUGAUUCUUACUGUUUCAUUCCCCUCUAAUUAUGAUCUCGGUCAAGAUCUAGAUCGCCAGUUCGUUCUGUAAGUUCUUGUACUUGUUAUUUCAUCUAUUCUUUCACUAAAAGAAGAGCAAAGAGAACCAAAUCUGCAAUUCAGUGAUAAUAUCAGCUCCUGGAUAAGUCUUCACAGCUGAAGUUGAGGCGGUGUACCUUGCAGGCUUAUUAUGGAGCUGUUCAGAGAUCGCCUUGAGAUCCGGAAGCUCAUCCCAAUAGUUUGGUAGUAUUUCUCCUCUUGAUUUUAGUUAUGUUAAUUGUUUUUCUUAACCUCUAAGCAGUAUAAUUUUAUAUUAUGCAUGGACUUCUAAUUUUCGAUUUGACUAAGGUAUCUGCUUACUAGUGUUUCAUAUGAGGUUCUGAUUAUCAAUUGUGACUUCCAGGUGACAUCUAUAUGAGCUACUGUUAACUUUGGGAUCUGCGGAGGUGCCUUUUCCAGUUGUUUUUGUGAACCGGGCAGCAUGUAAUAGUUUGUAAUGGAACUUGGAACUUGAUGUAGCACUAUAGACGAUUAAAUGUGGAUGCUUGUGAAGAUAUUGUAUCGUAUUAUAAAUCUAUCUUUACUGUA